AGGGGAGUAGCUCAGCUGGUAGAGCAUCGGUCUCCAAAACCGAGGGUCGCAGGUUCGAACCCUGUCUCCCUUGCCA
RNAcentral lists this transfer RNA (76 nucleotides) under Lentisphaera profundi. Its description in RNAcentral is "tRNA-Trp". It matches the Rfam family "tRNA". From Rfam's summary of the family: Transfer RNA (tRNA) molecules are approximately 80 nucleotides in length. Their secondary structure includes four short double-helical elements and three loops (D, anti-codon, and T loops). Further hydrogen bonds mediate the characteristic L-shaped molecular structure. tRNAs have two regions of fundamental functional importance: the anti-codon, which is responsible for specific mRNA codon recognition, and the 3' end, to which the tRNAs corresponding amino acid is attached (by aminoacyl-tRNA synthetases). tRNAs cope with the degeneracy of the genetic code in two manners: having more than one tRNA (with a specific anti-codon) for a particular amino acid; and 'wobble' base-pairing, i.e. permitting non-standard base-pairing at the 3rd anti-codon position. The record is from RNAcentral. Lineage: Bacteria; Pseudomonadati; Lentisphaerota; Lentisphaeria; Lentisphaerales; Lentisphaeraceae.